Molecule: small nucleolar RNA, 132 nt
Filed under: Dipodomys ordii (Ord's kangaroo rat)
Lineage: Eukaryota; Metazoa; Chordata; Mammalia; Rodentia; Heteromyidae
Description: Small nucleolar RNA U3
Rfam family: Small nucleolar RNA U3 (bases 1-41)
Source: Rfam by way of RNAcentral
UAGACUAUACUUUCAGGGAUCAUUUCUAUAGUUUGUUACUAGAAAGGUCUUUCCUGAUCAUCAUCCCUUGUCCUCACCCUUAUUUCUUGACUAGAAAUUUACCUGUAAUACAAUAAUUUAAUUUCCAGAGGG